This 65-nucleotide transfer RNA is filed under the name Scapholeberis mucronata. RNAcentral describes it as "tRNA-Trp". The record is from RNAcentral. Lineage: Eukaryota; Metazoa; Arthropoda; Branchiopoda; Diplostraca; Daphniidae.
AGAAUUUUAAGUUAAGCUAAACUAUAAGCCUUCAAAGCUUGAAAUAAGAAUAAUCUUAGAUUUUA